CCUACGGGUGGCAGCAGUCGAGAAUCAUUCACAAUGGAGGAAACCCUGAUGGUGCGACGCCGCGUGGGGGAAUGAAGGUCUUCGGAUUGUAAACCUCUGUCAUGUGGGAGCAAAUUAAAAAGAUAGUACCACAAGAGGAAGAGACGGCUAACUCUGUGCCAGCAGCCGCGGUAAUACAGCGGUCUCAAGCGUUGUUCGGAAUCACUGGGCUUAAAGCGUGCGUAGGCUGUUUCGUAAGUCGUGUGUGAAAGGUGCGGGCUCAACCCGCGGAGGGCAACUGAUACUGGGAGACUUGAGUAAAGUAGAGGUGACCGGAAUUCGCGGUGUAGCAGUGAAAUGCGUAGAUAUCGAGAGGAACACUCGUGGCGAAGGCAGGUUCCUGGACAUUAACUGACGCUGAGGCACGAAGGCCAGGGGAGCGAAAGGGAUUAGAUACCCUAGUAGUC
Molecule: ribosomal RNA, 446 nt
Filed under: uncultured bacterium
Lineage: Bacteria
Description: partial 16S ribosomal RNA
Rfam family: Bacterial small subunit ribosomal RNA
Source: RNAcentral